UAACUUGAGAGUUUGAUCCUGGCUCAGAACGAACGCUGGCGGCACGCUUAACACAUGCAAGUCGAACGAAAUUAUGGGGCUUGCUCCAUAAUUUAGUGGCGCACGGGUGAGUA
Molecule: ribosomal RNA, 113 nt
Filed under: Holosporaceae bacterium
Lineage: Bacteria; Pseudomonadati; Pseudomonadota; Alphaproteobacteria; Holosporales; Holosporaceae
Description: partial 16S ribosomal RNA
Rfam family: Bacterial small subunit ribosomal RNA
Source: RNAcentral